UUAAGGAACUGAAGAAUCUCUUUAAGAGGAAGGGCUGAGGCAGCUGGAGGCCUGUUUAGCUUUGAGAAGAGAUGACUGAGAGGAGAUUUCAUCAGUGGCAAGAGUGACAAGAGGAUGGAACUGGGCUCUUCUUGGUGGUACCAAGACACAGGACAAGAGGCAGAAACUGAUGCCCAGGAAGUUCCACCUGAACAUGAGGAAGACCUUCUUUGCUGUGCAGUUGACCACACACUAGAACUGUUGCCCAGACACAUUGUGGAGUAUCCCAUACUGGAGAUAUUCAAGAACUGUUUGGAUACAAUUCUGUGCAAAUCCUGCUUAAGCAAGGAGGUUGGGCCAGAUGAUCCACUAUGGUCCCUUCCAACCUGAUUGAUUCUGUGAUUUGGGACAAAAAGUCCAUCCCAUUACCACGAAGAGCCUGUGGAACCAAUCUGCCAGCAGGUAACAUCACUUGAAUGCCUGCCAGUAGCUGCUUGUCUCUCAAAACGCUCCCAUUUUCAUUUUCAGAAUUUUUGAUAAAUAAACCUAAAAUUAAAUAUCAGAGCCUAAGGGAGUUUUAAUCAUCCUUAGGAAAAGAAACUUGCACAACCACCAAGUUCAGCUGACAUUAACAGCCUGUUAUUCAGGAUUUCUUCUGCAAUCUCUGUCCUUAUCUAUCCUUAUCUGUUCUGCAGUUUCUGUCCUUUCACAUCUAGACAAUAUGAAAACUGCAAAAAGAAAACUGAUUGGUUCAUAAGAAACAAGAUAGGAAGUCCAAGAUGACAAUGAGAAUAAAUAGUAAUCAGGUAAGUGGUGUUUAUAGGCCUUCAAUGCAAAGGACAGAGGAAAAUGACAAAGGAAAAAACCCAACCACACAACCACCCAGAUCCCAGUAUCUUGGAAUUAACAUGAGAAAAAGAAGCGAACCUCUGCAAGGCCUCAAGCAAGAGACCAUCCUGCUGUUUUCCUGACAGACUGUCCCAAACAAGUGUCCUCUGCCACUUCCCCAGCCCACCCAAAGUGCCAGGUGUAUUCCACUGAAUUUGCUACCUGCACCUUUUCUCCCCAGCUGCACUCCAGAAUUUCCAUUUCCCAGAAAAAUCCCAUUGCUAGCUUUAAUGACUGAAAAAAUCUUAAGGGCUGAGGUUUUUGCCUUGGGCCUCAAAAGUGAGUCUUUCUGAAUUUGUACACAACCCAAAAUAAUAGUGUGUGAACCUCAAACAAUAUAUUUCAUCCAUGGGUAUGAUGUGAUUUCCAUGGAGGGUGGGGCAUAAUGCUGUCAAGGAACCUGUAGUAGCAAGUGAUGAAGUGAUUGCUGAAGAUAACUAGACAUUGCCAAAGAUAACCAGACAAGCAAUUAGAAAAGCCAGAAACAGCACCCCUAGGUGCUAUUGCCAAACCUCAGGUUUACAGUCUUACCUGUUGGCAACAACAGCAGAUGUGAUCUUUAUCUGAUUAGUAGGGUAACCCAUCUAAGUAUCCAAGCUGUCUAAAACCUGAGCUCACACAGGCCAUGGAUAUAUAGGUUGGUACUACGGUAGGGAAGCUAUGGUAUCUGGAGCCCAAAUCCCCAAUACAGGCUUGAGCCAGCUGAAUUAUUAGCUCUGAAGUUUGGGCUUCAUUCAUUUAAGUGGUAUUGAUGUGAACGUUCAAGCCGAUCCUGUAUGUUUCACUCUCAUAGUGCAGAAUAAUUUGGCCCCAGUCCUGCAAAUACAUUUUGCCACCGCAACUAGCUCCAGUUUACAGCAGACAUUUGGUGACUUGCCAGUGCUGUCUUUUUUUCUCUCUGUAGAAAGGAAAAGGGAUGCUGUGGGCUUGGCUGUUAUCACCAUCAUUAAAUCUCUUUUCAUCCUCUUUUUCUUUCUUCCCUUUCACCUUCCAGUUAAGGCAUCCUCACCACUUCAAAGUGUUGAGCAAUAAUUGAGGAAUAAUACUAGUACUGAUAAUAAAUGCACAAAUUUAGCUGGCUUGACGGUUUCAAUGUAUUAAUGUAAAGUGUCAAUAUUAAGUAUUUUGCAAAACAGGAGUCCAGCAAGGCCUUGGCUCCAUACUUAGUUAAACACAGGCAGUUGAUGUCAAGGGAUGAACUCGCAGACUGACAUGCUGUUUGCAGGGUGUACAGUCCAGUUGGGCAAGAACAAGGAUAUUCCAACUGACCCAAACACUUUACAAAAUUGGAUUCCUGGGGAAGCUGCUUUUUGCCAUCUGGCAGGAAAGAGCGACAGUGUCCUGGUAGCUGGCAGCCAGUAGUCAGUACAAAAACGGCGUUUACCUGUGCUACGGCCAAGAAAGCUUCUGCGAGUGGAAGCAAAGGCACUACCACCGCCGGCGCUGCCUGGGGAGCGCUCUGGCGCUCCACUUCCUAGAGCUUUGUUUUCCCGGCUGCGGAGCACCAGCCGGGCCCUUGCGGAGGCAGCGCGGCAGGGGUGCAGAUUCGUCCCCCGCCACCGCCGAGGGGCCCGUAGGACGCAGUGACAACGGGACGCCGGAGGAUCUCGCAGCGGGGGCAGCGGGUGUCGGGCAGCGGGGGUUCGCCCCGGAGGCCAGGCUGAGAGUGACCACGGCCACGACGCCCCAUCCCGUCUCGUUCCACGAGCGACGCGGAGCAGCGGCCGUUCAGCUCCUCCCUCCCCCGCCCAGCGACGACUCGGAGCGGCCGGCGGCGGCGGCUCUGCGCAUCACGGGCCACAUCAUCGCGGGGGCCGCUCGGUUCCGCGCCUGCUCAGUGGCGGCGGCGCUCACCUAGCGGAGUUGUCACCGCCGCCUGCUGCUCCUGCCCCGCCGCAGCGAUGGAGCGCAACUCCGCCACGCUGCCGGCACCGCUGUCGCCCAGAUCCAGUCUUGCUUAUGGAAAUGUUGAAGAUUUGAGAGCAAUGAAAAAACACUUUUGCUUGCAGAAAAUGAAUAUUUUGGUCCACGUGUAAGUGUCGCAUUUGGUGACUCACCUGCAAAAUUUCUUGGCUGACAUCUGAAGAACAAAGUGCUUUUCAACCUGUACUUCUGUAGCACUAUGACUAACUGUAAAGGCAGAUCUACCAUCUCCAAAACAAAUAGCAAAGUCCAUGACAGAGAAGGCUUUGUAAACUGGACCAUAAAUCUUAAUACAAUUCAGUCUGAUAAAUUUUUGAGGCUGCUUUUAAGUAUGGUUCCUGUUCUUUACCAAAUAAACCAAGAGGAAAGACACAAAAAGGUGAAUGGUGUCUGGCAAGAUGGAUUGCAACCAGCAGGACACAAUUUCAGUGUCAGGUCUGAGCAACAUACAGCGUACCAUCACUUCUCAGAAGCAAGCUUUCAUGGUAGCAGUGAACACAGCCCAUCCAGUUGUAGCCCUAAAUAUGAUGGUUUUGCCAGUUACAAUUACUGUGAUGGAAUGGACACUUCAGAAACAGAUGCCAUGUUGCAGGAUGACACUCUCUCUAGUGACAGUAAUGAGGAUAUCAUUGUGGAAGGAAGUAGAAAACAACCCAAAGAAUCGAGUAGUAUUAUGGCACUGCAGAUACUUGUACCUUUUUUGCUGGCAGGGUUUGGAACUGUUUCUGCUGGCAUGGUUUUGGAUAUUGUACAGCACUGGGAUGUGUUCAAGAAUGUUACUGAAGUCUUUAUCUUGGUUCCUGCGCUUCUUGGUCUCAAAGGAAAUUUGGAAAUGACUUUGGCAUCCCGGCUGUCAACUGCUGUAAAUACUGGAAAAAUGGAUUCUCCCAUUGAGAAAUGGAACCUAAUAAUUGGCAAUUUGGCCUUAAAACAGGUUCAGGCAACAGUAGUUGGUUUUCUGGCAGCAGUGGCAGCAGUAAUAUUGGGCUGGAUUCCAGAGGGCAAAUACCGCUUUGAUCAUUCAGUCCUUUUGUGUUCUAGCAGUGUAGCAACUGCCUUCAUAGCUUCUCUUUUGCAAGGAGUAAUAAUGGUUGGAGUUAUUGUUGGAUCCAAGAAGACUGGUAUUAAUCCUGACAAUGUUGCAACUCCUAUUGCAGCAAGUUUUGGAGAUCUCAUCACCCUUGCCAUAUUAGCAUGGAUAAGUCAGGGUCUGUACACUUGCCUUGAGACAUAUUACUAUGUAUCUCCUUUGGUUGGUGCUUUUUUUUUGGCUCUGACUCCAAUGGGGAUUGUCAUAGCUGCCAAACACCCAGCUACCAGAACUGUCCUCCACUCAGGAUGGGAGCCUGUUGUAACUGCCAUGAUUAUAAGCAGUAUUGGUGGCCUUAUUCUGGACACAACAGUAUCUGAUCCUAACUUGGUUGGAAUUGUUGUUUAUACCCCAGUAAUUAAUGGAAUAUAAAUUUCACUGAUAUACAGAUUCUCUGCAUCAUCCUUUUCGACCCACUUUAAAGAUACAUUUUCUGUUUUCUCCACUACAGCCCUCAGGUAUUCUCUAACCUCCAAAAUAAUCAGUUUGCAAAAAUGAUCACUAAUACUUCAUGGAUUGUUAACUUAGCUCUCUAGAUGCAGUAAAUUUAACUUAACUCUCAGGCUCUAGUAUUUAUUUACUUGUGAUCAGGUAUCACCAUUUUUAUGAAGGCAGUAGACAAAAGAAACUGACUAUUUAAAUCUUCAGUAGAGCAUGUUGCUUGCUCUUCUUUCUCAUUAAGACCCUCUAUUUCAUUUCUUCUUACUUUUAAUGGGAAAGAUUUCUGGGUUGCAACUUGAGUUCCUUGCUAACAAUAAAUUAAAUUUUACACUACAGCCGUUAUGUUUCCUUAUCUGUUCCUUGCCUUUCUAUCAAUUCGAAAUUGGAAAUACUUGCAUCUAACUUUUGUGUGUUUCCAUUUUGAUUUCCAGAUACCUAAAAGGCAAGACAGACGUGUUGAUCUCCAGCUUUUUUUCUGCUUUACACCUGUAACUUUUCUUAUAGUAGUCCUUUUUUGGUUAACUCCUUGGAUUUGCUUCCUAAGAGAAGAGGAUUAGUCUUUUUUGGUUUUAGGCAGGUGUACCCAAACCAGUAUUAAGGCAAUGCCCAUACAUUAUUUUGAACUGUCUUUAUGGGAAAAGAACUAGCCAAAAGAUAGAGCCCUGGAGGUUUAGCUGACAGGUCAAAACGUCUUUGAAGAGUUAGGCAGGUGUAAGAGAGGGAAAGCUGAGGCUGCUUGAGCAGGUAGGGAGGGAAAGAGUCUUUCCAGGAGGCUGGGAUAGCAAGAGGCAUUAUUGACUCAGAAUCCUAAAGGCCGAGGCAUUUCUAUUGGAAAAUACAGAGAAAAUAUGGUCUGUGUAGAGUAUGCAGGGGUUUAUGGUACACCUCCUGGAAAAGGAAACUGUAGGAAAGGUAAUUUUUUUUGCGGUUGUUCUUAGAUCAGCCUCUCCGGGGUUUCAUAAUUCUACUGACACAUUUUGAUAUUGCUGGUCAGAACAGUGUAGUAAACUGGGGGUAAGGAAGUUCUUCAGUUAAAAAAGCACAUCUGUUGACACUCAUUUACUGACAUGAAAGGUGUGUUAGGUCACUUAAUAGAUGGCUUUUAAAAUAUUACUGUUGCAGAAAGUUUUCUCUACUUUUCUUGGCCUUGAAAUUCUCAUUGUAAGCCUAAGUAGCAAAAGAAACUGAGGGUUUCCUCCUUCUAUUUUCUUUCACCUUAAAAUUUGUUGCUCCUAUGGCACAGAAAACCUGGGGGGAAAAAAAACCAUCAGGGAAACCUGAAAGAAAUAUUCUUUCCUAUUGGGAAUUUGUCCAGCCAAAAUUUGAGGACAUUGUAAAUUUGUUCAGCCAAAAUUUGGGGAUGUAAAUUUGUCCAGAAUUUCAAGCUGUGACACUAUUUUUUAGGGCCAUUUGCUGUAUCUUGAACACCUGAACAGUAUUGACUGCAAAAUAGUCAGGUGUUAGGUUUCCUGUGCACCAUUAAGUAGGUUUUAUUCAAGUCCUGCCUAGAUAGUUUGCUUAUUCUUAGAUGUGAGACAAGUGACUUUAAUCAUGUCUUACACUGUGGAGCCAUAAAUAUUUUAGAAGAUUGAAGAAAUACUGGUCUGGAAUUUGAGCAACAUCAAAGUUUCCUACCCCUAUUAACAAUAACUACAAAUAUUUGCCCAAAAUAUUAAAAUAGUUUUUAAGCAGAAAGGCAUUUAUAGUCAGGUUUACAGCUGGUGGCCAGACAUAUUUCACAGCUGUUUUUCUAUUUUCUCACUGUUAAACACAUGUUUAAUUCUGAGGUUGGCUGGGUUAAAUUGCAUCACUGCUUUUUGAAAAUAAACAAAUGAUUUUGUUGUUUCAGACAACUUGCAGACUAUUUGAGAUUUAGAUGUCUCUUUGCGGUACUGAAGUUCUGAAUAGAAUAACUAAGCCCAAGCAGGGCUAUGCUUUGUUCUAGAAUUGAUUUGAGUUGUGUUUUCUCAUGAAUUAAAAUUUCCCAAUCCUCUUACAGCAUUACAGCAUGUUGCAAUUUGCAAGUAACUGAGCUCCUUUUGUGUAGAAAAAAAAGAUAUUAUUACAUGCUUCUGAAAAUGCAGCAGAAAUGAGCUAAAGUGCGGGUACCAGAUAAAGCCACUUUCCUCUCCAUUUUUGUGUGUUUAUACAAAAUAUUGUGAGAUAUCCUCUAAGUAUUUGCGUUUCAGAAGUUACUGAGUAAUAACCAACAUGUCAGUAGACAUUUUUAUGCACCUUAAAGGACGACAGUUCUGCAAAUUAAUUCUUAAAACACCUGAAAUUUGGAAAUACUUUGUAUCAAAAAAACUUUCCUUUGCAGGUGGUUUGAAGCAGUACUCUUUAAAAGGUAUUGGUGGCAAUCUAGUAGCUAUUCAAGCUAGCAGAAUUUCUACCUACCUCCAUUUACAUAGCAUUCCUGGAGAGCUGCCAGAGGAGGCCAAGGGUUUCUAUUACCCAUGCAGAACAUACUGUGGUACAGG
Serinus canaria (Common canary) is the source of this 6801-nucleotide RNA transcript. It is a transcript of the gene named solute carrier family 41 member 2, with no coding region annotated. The transcript has 10 exons. NCBI's taxonomy places the organism in Eukaryota, Metazoa, Chordata, Aves, Passeriformes, Fringillidae. The record is from RefSeq and is a predicted model, not a curated record.